GCUUAACGCGAAGAACCUUACCAAGGCUUAAAUGGGAAACGACGGAUCUGGAAACAGGUCUUCCUUCGGGCGUUUUUCAAGGUGCUGCAUGGUUGUCGUCAGCUCGUGCCGUGAGGUGUCAGGUUAAGUCCUAUAACGAGCGCAACCCCUGUUGUUAGUUGCCAGCGAGUCAAGUCGGGAACUCUAGCAAGACUGCCGGUGCAAACCGUGAGGAAGGUGGGGAUGACGUCAAAUCAUCACGGCCCUUACGCCUUGGGCUACACACGUGCUACAAUGGACGGUACAGAGAGCAGCCAGUGGGUGACCACGAGCGAAUCUACAAAACCGUUCUCAGUUCGGAUCGGAGUCUGCGACUCGACUCCGUGAAGCUGGAAUCGCUAGUAAUCGGAUAUCAGCCAUGAUCCGGUGAAUACGUUCCCGGGUCUUGUACACACCG
Molecule: ribosomal RNA, 436 nt
Filed under: uncultured bacterium
Lineage: Bacteria
Description: bacterial SSU rRNA
Rfam family: Bacterial small subunit ribosomal RNA
Source: RNAcentral